Podarcis lilfordi (Lilford's wall lizard) is the source of this 71-nucleotide non-coding RNA. The record is from the annotation of a GenBank genome assembly. NCBI's taxonomy places the organism in Eukaryota, Metazoa, Chordata, Lepidosauria, Squamata, Lacertidae.
GGAGAAGGUAGAAGUGGUGGAGCAUCUGCUUUGCCUGCAGAAGGUCCCAGGUUCAAUUCUUGGCAUCUCCA